RNAcentral lists this ribosomal RNA (473 nucleotides) under uncultured bacterium. RNAcentral describes it as "bacterial SSU rRNA". It matches the Rfam family "Bacterial small subunit ribosomal RNA", at positions 355 to 825 of the family's 1533-position model. The record is from RNAcentral.
UCGAGAAUCUUUCGCAAUGCCCGAAAGGGUGACGAAGCGACGCCGCGUGCGGGAGGAAGGCCUUCGGGUUGUAAACCGCUGUCGGGAGUUAAGAAAUGCAAGGAUGUUAAUAGCGUUCUUGCUUGACUAAGGCUCCGGAGGAAGCCACGGCUAACUCUGUGCCAGCAGCCGCGGUAAUACAGAGGCGGCAAGCGUUGUUCGGAAUUAUUGGGCGUAAAGAGCACGUAGGCGGCUGUGUAAGUCGGUUGUGAAAGCCUUCCGCUCAACGGAAGAACGGCAUCCGAUACUGCAUGGCUUGAGUGUGGGAGGGGAGAGUGGAACUUCUGGUGGAGUGGUGAAAUACGUAGAUAUCUGGAAGAACACCAGUGGCGAAGGCGGUCUCUUGGUCCUAUACUGACGCUAAGGCGCGAAAGCGUGGGGAGCAAACAGGAUUAGAUACCCUAGUAGUCCCUGAGCGGGCUGGCAAGGCGCAU